Molecule: long non-coding RNA, 2589 nt
Filed under: Strigops habroptila (Kakapo)
Lineage: Eukaryota; Metazoa; Chordata; Aves; Psittaciformes; Psittacidae
Description: lncRNA (ENSSHBG00005006426.1)
Source: RNAcentral
CCUCAUGCCUCUAUCUCUUAGAACACAUUGUGAAAGGUAAAACGGUUUUCUUCAUUCAUCAACCCAGAUUUAACUAAUCAGAGGCCUGGGGUCAGCAUAUUGGGGUGUGUGGAGAGGGGAAGCGAGAUUAUUGGCAAUAAACCAUGAGAUAAUUUGUAUUGGGAUUGGCUUAAUUUUACUUCUAAACAGCAAGAGCUGUGGCUUGUGCUGCUUCUUUCCUCAUCCAAAGCUGCCCAAGGUCUCCACAAGCUGCUUGGGAAGGACCCAACCCGGAUGAACAUCUGCAUCACUCCAGUGUCUAAUAGUUAACACUGUUAAGGAAACGCACUUCUCAAGUAUAACUGUGCGGUAGUGUCUUCACCUAAGCUUCAGGAGCCUGUAUGAGGGUAAAUGGGUGGCAGGUCCAGCCAGGGUAGCUACAAAUGAGCUCAAUCCUGCCUCACUGCUGGUUUUGAUGCUGGGGCAAUAUCCUGCUCAACCCUGCCUCUGUCAUGUUGGCCAUGAAACCUCCCCAUGAAGAGCAUGUACGCUCACAGUCACGAGCAGUGCUCUGCUGCGUCCGAGCAGAGUUAUGCAUAACUGCAUUGAGACUCUGUAGACAAGACCAAAUUGGGGGGUUAUUUCAUCUGGAGAGAUGAUUCUUUUGAGUUUAGCAACUUCUUCAAGCAUGUGAAUGUGUAGCACUAUAGUGGUGGGUGCUUGGAGUACUUCAGCUUGAUGGUGCUGUGAUUAUGUAUCUUGUCAGCCUUUUUUCACUUAGGAUUUCACUGAGCAUUUUAUUUCCUUCACAAGCUCAAUAUGCAGAUGUCUGUUAAUGAGGGAUCUAAUGCUUCAGAGCUUCCAGCCUAUCCUGUCAGCUGUCCUGCAGACUAAAGGGAGAUUUUGCCCCAAAAAAGGUCUAAAAUCCCUGGCAGUGUUCAAGGCCAGCUUGGACGAGGCUUGGAGCAACCUGCUCUAGUGGAAGGUGUCCCUGCCCGUGGCAGGGGGUUGGAACUGGAUGAGCUUUAAGGUCCCUUCCAACCCAAACCAUUCUGUGGACCUAUGAUAACAUGUGUCUUGAGGAAUAGACUCUGGGAUAUUCUAUUCUGGCCCACGGGCCUCACCUUUUUAUUCCUAAUAACUGUGAAGUGCCACAAAUCUGACCUGCUGCUGGUUUUCACCCAUUUGGUGCUCUGCUUUCCUUCCAGAAGCUGAGCAUCAUCACCCUUCUGGGGUUAGAUCUUGCCUCAAACCAGUGUGAGAAGCGUCUCUGAGGGUGUCAGCAGCGCUGGGCUGGUGUUGAACUGCCAUUGGCAGCCAGCUCCAGAUGCUGCCAGGUCAGGAGGAUUCUUCCUGGGCUUGCAAGAAGGUUGGGGCAGGCUCCAGGAGCUGCUCUAUUGGCUGAGCAGCAGCUGCAGAUGUUGCUUCAGCUCUGCCAUAGCUCCUAAAACGGGGAUUUUCAGUUUAUAGGAGCUUACACUGAGGAAAAGUAAAGGAAAAUCAGCAUCAGUGUUCUUGGAAGUACCGCUGCGUUUGUGCCAGAGGAUGUAUGUGAGGAGCACCUGCGGUGGGAAGAUGGAUAAGGCUGGGAAGGAGCUAACACCAGCCGGGUUGAUCGGGGCUGCUUUCUCCACCACACAGCCCGCACAAAGCACUUGUGUGAGCUCCCGAGGAGUGCUUGGAGCUGCUCCCUGUGCUGCGGGGGGGCGAGGGCAUCCCUACCAGACCAGGGGUUGCCAUCUAGCGAGCUGCAUCUGUUAGCUGCUUUGUGCAUGUGUGGGCUCUUUUUGCUGUGGUUGUUCCCCCAGGCACUGCAAAUGUCACAGGAGAGUCUCGCUCAGAAGCACCCUUGGGGAACUGUUUUCUGCACUGAAACACUGAAGAGCGUCAUCUGUAAGAAUAAAACCUUUUGUAAUCGAGCGAGAUACUUUGGUUCAUCUGGUGUGCCUUUUACAAGGGCUCUGUCCCGAGGAACUAAGGCUUGAUCCUUUUUAGCUUUUCUGUCUUAAAAGAAGCGUGCCCCUUUGAAUAGAAGUGGGUUCUGUUUGGUUGGAUCAAGGUCACACUAUCAAAUGACUUCAUUUUCUAAAGCACGCACUGAGUUUCCUCAGAUACACUAAAUUCCGUUUUGUUGCUGUUGGGUUUUACAUGUAUUGUCUGAUUUUACUGGAGAUUUUGGUGGAAAAGCAAACAAUCUUAGUAGUUUUCCAUACGUUUAAAGAUGUGAUAAAGGGAUGACAAGAACCCUUCGCUUCCUUUUAAAGUGUUGGAAUCUCACCUUUCCUUAAUGAUGAUUUACUGAUGACCAACAAAGGGUUCACCAUGAAUAGUUGUUCCUGUGUCAGUAGUUUGUGACUUAAACAGUCUGGGUCUUUUCCAAAGCUGCUUCAAGAAAGCAGAGAGAUUCCUUUUAUUUUCUUGGACGGGCUUUUGAAACAGGCUCACUUAACUAUUGAAUGACCUGAGCUUGGGAUUGCUCUCAUACAACCUGACCAUUGAUGAUGGGUCAUCUUCGCUGAGCUUAUGUAGUUGUUCAAACACUGUUAGUAAAAAAGAUGCAGAAGUUUCUUGUAAACUCCUUUUGUUUGGUGGCUUUUUGAAUAAACUGCU